CCCACCGCACUUGCCCGCCGGCUCCCGCCAGCACCGCUCCCGCAGCCAGCACCUUGCAGCGCGCUCCGGACCCUAGGCGGACCAAUCAGGGCAGAGAGCGCACGCGGCGGCCAAUCAGCGCGCAGGACGCUGCGGCUCCCUCCCUCGGAGCAGCCACCGCCUCCCGCCGCCUGCCCUGCGCCCCAGACCGGCUGCGCUGGGAGCCGCCGCCCGGCCCCGCCUUGUGCCGCGCCGCAAGCCCCGCUCACACCCGGCCGCCGCCGCCGCCGCCGCCGCCGUGAGGGAAGGACGCAUCUGCGUGCGGGGCCGGGGUUGCUGCUUCCCCGCGGAGCGUCCCCGCCGGCUCCGCACGCGCACGAAGCGGCUCCGGGCGCCGCCACUCUCCGCGCAGCGGCCCGGGCCGGGGCGGCGGGAGGCGGUGCCCGCAGGGACAGCUGUGUGGGCCCCGCGCACCGGCGCGUCUUCUCCGCGGAGGCCCGAGGCGGCCCCGCCCGCCCCGCGUUCCUGACCGCGCGCCCGAGCAAGAGCCGGGGCGCUCCGGCGCCCUGGUCCCGCCGCGAUGCUGCCUGGCGUUGUACAGAGACGUAUCCAGUACAGCUAUAAGGAGAAGCAGACAAGACGGCAGAUGGGCAGUCUUUAGCCACUAAGGAGGGAAGGAAACCCCCGCCUGCCCAGCAGGAGGGAAAGGUGCUUUGCUGCAUUGUGACCGUUGCAAGAAGAAGAAGGAUUGUGUGGAUCCCCAGUUGCCUCCAGGUUUUUGUAAGUCCCUUGAGUCCAGCUGUGGUCAUGCCCCUCUUGCCUGUUUAAUGUAAUGUCCACAGGCUUUCAGCCAGCUCUACCCCUGUAAUCCCUGAGGGGCUGCUGAGUUCAGGGGAGCCAAACCCAUUUGAUCAGUCCCAUUAUAUAAUUUUCAAAAAAAAUCAUUUUUAUUUCUUUUUCAUUUUUCAUUUAUUUCAUUUUCAUUCUCAUUCAUUUUUAUUUUCUUCAGGCUCUAGUCUUUUCCCUCUUUCUUAUUGCUCACCCCCACCAAGUUCAGAGGCCUCCAGCCACAAAGGAAUCCGGACCCCCAGCCUGCGCUUUGCAGCACCAUGCCCCAGUCCCCCAGCUCUUGGGGAGACCUGGGGCUGAGGGGCAGCAGUGGCCUUGGACAGUGGAGCUGGACAGCCAUGUCUUGCAGACCAUGAAUAUGCGGGAACCCAGGGAAGGCUGCCUGCCCAAAUACCUACCUUGGGGCCUGGCUCAGACCAAGGUUGAACUGUGGAGCUACCUUCGGGCCCCAAAAGGCAAAGGGCCAUGAGCUGGGCAGCCACCAGACAAAACCUGGAGCAGCACCCCAGGGCAGUUUGCCUGGUACAGUGGUCAGAGCACUGUGCCCAGGAGGCCACUCACCACCCCAACAAGCUUCUGCCGUGCGAAGGCGCACAGGAACUGCACAAGGGGUGGGCCAGCAGCCCCCGCUGUGGGAUGCCCUCCUCUGCCCUGUGUUGGGGGCAGAGCCUUGCUCUGGCUAUGGGGGCCACUGAGCACAAGGGUCCAGUGCUCCCCCCCAGGACUGCACACGAGCUCCUCUGCCCUCCUGGCAGGGCCCCUGGCGCAGGCUGGAGGCAGACCCACCUGCAGCACCCCCUCCUCCAGCCCCAUCUGAGGCAGGAGCCUGCUCUCCUGGGCAUGGUCCCUCCGCCCCUAAGAAGCCUUGCCCCUGCCUUCGGUCUAUCCCCGAGAGCCCAGGACUCCUGCAGGGAGCCAGGACCUCCCUCUCAGGGGUGGGGGGGGGAUCCCUGGGACCUGCUGCACUGCAGACCUGCCGGCUCCAGGGGUGCUUGCCCCAGGGAACAGGCAGGGCUCACUGGUGUCAGCUGGAGGAGCUCCCUGCCCGACAUGAGGUGCCCCUGCCCUGCUCUCCUGCCCGGGCACUGGCUGGACCCCGUGGUGGCAGGACCUCACAGGACCCCGUUUCCGGGCUCGAGCAUGGGUGGCUGGAACAAGUCCUCUCCCACAUGGCAAAUAUGAUGGCCCUUGGCCUGCAGCGGCUGGGCAAGCACUGCUGGGGAAAGCAAGAGUGAAAGCCGGGCCCAGAGG
This is a long non-coding RNA of Alligator mississippiensis (American alligator), 2079 nucleotides long. RefSeq lists it as uncharacterized. The record is from RefSeq and is a predicted model, not a curated record. The transcript is spliced from 3 exons. NCBI's taxonomy places the organism in Eukaryota, Metazoa, Chordata, Crocodylia, Alligatoridae.